RNAcentral lists this ribosomal RNA (805 nucleotides) under uncultured bacterium. RNAcentral describes it as "bacterial SSU rRNA". It matches the Rfam family "Bacterial small subunit ribosomal RNA", at positions 62 to 880 of the family's 1533-position model. The record is from RNAcentral.
UCGAACGAGCGAGAGAGAGCUUGCUUUCUCAAGCGAGUGGCGAACGGGUGACUAUCGCGUGAGGAACCUGCCUCAAAGAGGGGGACAACAGUUGGAAACGACUGCUAAUACCGCAUAAGCCCACAGGUCGGCAUCGACCAGAGGGAAAAGGAGCAAUCCGCUUUGAGAUGGCCUCGCGUCCGAUUAGCUAGUUGGUGAGGUAACGGCCCACCAAGGCGACGAUCGGUAGCCGGACUGAGAGGUUGAACGGCCACAUUGGGACUGAGACACGGCCCAGACUCCUACGGGAGGCAGCAGUGGGGAAUAUUGCACAAUGGGGGAAACCCUGAUGCAGCGACGCCGCGUGGAGGAAGAAGGUCUUCGGAUUGUAAACUCCUGUUGUUGAGGAAGAUAAUGACGGUACUCAACAAGGAAGUGACGGCUAACUACGUGCCAGCAGCCGCGGUAAAACGUAGGUCACAAGCGUUGUCCGGAAUUACUGGGUGUAAAGGGAGCGCAGGCGGGAAGACAAGUUGGAAGUGAAAUCUAUGGGCUCAACCCAUAAACUGCUUUCAAAACUGUUUUUCUUGAGUAGUGCAGAGGUAGGCGGAAUUCCCGGUGUAGCGGUGGAAUGCGUAGAUAUCGGGAGGAACACCAGUGGCGAAGGCGGCCUACUGGGCACCAACUGACGCUGAGGCUCGAAAGUGUGGGUAGCAAACAGGAUUAGAUACCCUGGUAGUCCACACCGUAAACGAUGAUUACUAGGUGUUGGAGGAUUGACCCCUUCAGUGCCGCAGUUAACACAAUAAGUAAUCCACCUGGGGAG